RNAcentral lists this unclassified non-coding RNA (295 nucleotides) under plant metagenome. RNAcentral's name for it is "partial contains small subunit ribosomal RNA, internal transcribed spacer 1, and 5.8S ribosomal RNA". The record is from RNAcentral.
UUUCCGUAGGUGAACCUGCGGAAGGAUCAUUAUUGAAUAAACUUGGUUGGGUUGUUGCUGGCUCCUCGGAGCAUGUGCAUGCUCGCUCCAUUUUUAACCACCUGUGCACCUUGUGUAGAUCUGAACAACUCUCGGGGAAACUCGGUCAGAGGAUUGCUGUGUGUAAAAGCCAGCUUUUCUUGGGUUCAGAUCUAUGUCUCUAUAUACACCAUAAGAAUGUAUUGGAACGUAAUUGACAGGCGUUACAGCCUUUAAAAAUCAAAUACAACUUUCAACAACGGAUCUCUUGGCUCUC